AGCGUGCGUAGGCGGCUUUUUUAAGUCGGAUGUGAAAUCCCCCGAGCUUAACUUGGGAAUUGCAUUCGAUACUGGGAAGCUAGAGUAUGGGAGAGGAUGGUAGAAUUCCAGGUGUAGCGGUGAAAUGCGUAGAGAUCUGGAGGAAUACCGAUGGCGAAGGCAGCCAUCUGGCCUAAUACUGACGCUGAGGUACGAAAGCAUGGGGAGCAAACAGGAUUAGAUACCCUAGU
RNAcentral lists this ribosomal RNA (230 nucleotides) under uncultured bacterium. Its description in RNAcentral is "partial 16S ribosomal RNA". It matches the Rfam family "Bacterial small subunit ribosomal RNA", at positions 564 to 791 of the family's 1533-position model. The record is from RNAcentral.